This 292-nucleotide ribosomal RNA is filed under the name uncultured bacterium. Its description in RNAcentral is "partial 16S ribosomal RNA". It matches the Rfam family "Bacterial small subunit ribosomal RNA", at positions 505 to 796 of the family's 1533-position model. The record is from RNAcentral.
GUGCCAGCCGCCGCGGUAAUACGGAGGGUGCAAGCGUUAUCCGGAUUUACUGGGUUUAAAGGGUGCGUAGGCGGGUAGGUAAGUCAGUGGUGAAAUCUUCGAGCUUAACUCGGAAAUUGCCGUUGAUACUAUUUAUCUUGAAUAUCGUUGAGGUUUGCGGAAUAUGUCAUGUAGCGGUGAAAUGCUUAGAGAUGACAUAGAACACCUAUUGCGAAGGCAGCAGGCUAAACGAACAUUGACGCUGAGGCACGAAAGCGUGGGGAUCAAACAGGAUUAGAAACCCCUGUAGUCC